CUUGAGGCGUGGCUUCCGGAGCUAACGCGUUAAGUCGACCGCCUGGGGAGUACGGCCGCAAGGUUAAAACUCAAAUGAAUUGACGGGGGCCCGCACAAGCGGUGGAGCAUGUGGUUUAAUUCGAUGCAACGCGAAGAACCUUACCUACUCUUGACAUCCAGAGAACUUUCCAGAGAUGGAUUGGUGCCUUCGGGAACUCUGAGACAGGUGCUGCAUGGCUGUCGUCAGCUCGUGUUGUGAAAUGUUGGGUUAAGUCCCGCAACGAGCGCAACCCUUAUCCUUUGUUGCCAGCGGUCCGGCCGGGAACUCAAAGGAGACUGCCAGUGAUAAACUGGAGGAAGGUGGGGAUGACGUCAAGUCAUCAUGGCCCUUACGAGUAGGGCUACACACGUGCUACAAUGGCGCAUACAAAGAGAAGCGACCUCGCGAGAGCAAGCGGACCUCAUAAAGUGCGUCGUAGUCCGGAUUGGAGUCUGCAACUCGACUCCAUGAAGUCGGAAUCGCUAGUAAUCGUAGAUCAGAAUGCUACGGUGAAUACGUUCCCGGGCCUUGUACACACCGCCCGUCACACCAUGGGAGUGGGUUGCAAAAGAAGUAGGUAGCUUAACCUUCGGGAGGGCGCUUACCCCUUUGUGAUUCAUGACUGGGGUGAAGUC
Molecule: ribosomal RNA, 656 nt
Filed under: Citrobacter sp. DJM1G6
Lineage: Bacteria; Pseudomonadati; Pseudomonadota; Gammaproteobacteria; Enterobacterales; Enterobacteriaceae
Description: bacterial SSU rRNA
Rfam family: Bacterial small subunit ribosomal RNA
Source: RNAcentral